GUAGUGUAUGCUUCUCCUAAAGACUAAGCCAUGCAUGUCUCCGAAUAGAAGAGCAAGUCUCUCUGAAUCUGCGAACGGCUCCGCAUACCAGUUGUAAACCAUAGCAAGCAAACCGGGCGGUCGUUUCACGACGCAUCGCUCGGUUCAUAAGGAUACCCAUGGUAAUUCUGAGGCUAAUACAAGAACGUACAACCCACUCGACCCGUUAGGGGAGGGAGGGGAAUGUGUGACUAAGGCACGCAAAUAUCGUACUGGGAGUGGCCACACGUUCAGACCACCAUACCAAACGGUCGUUCGCUUCCGAAAGCCUCCGGGCGAGUAGUGGCGGGCUUCAGGGUGGCUCUUGCUGUGUGCUUCUGACCUAUCAACUAGAUGGCAGCGUAACGGACAUGCUAUGGUGACAACGGGUACAGAGGAUAAGGGUUCGAUCCUGGAGAGUGGGCCUGAGAGAUUGCUCACACUUCUAAGGAAGGCAGCAGGCGCGCAACGUUCCCAUUGGGCAAAGCUCGAGGGCGUUAGGGGACAUAUGAAUGCCUGCCUUAUGGUGGGCAAUUCAAAUGGGACUGUUCUAAACAUCCUAUCGAGUAAC
RNAcentral lists this ribosomal RNA (589 nucleotides) under Physarum utriculare. Its description in RNAcentral is "bacterial SSU rRNA". It matches the Rfam family "Eukaryotic small subunit ribosomal RNA", at positions 20 to 545 of the family's 1831-position model. The record is from RNAcentral. Lineage: Eukaryota; Evosea; Eumycetozoa; Physariida; Physaraceae.